UGACCGUGCGAAGGUAGCGUAAUCAUUUGUCUUUUAAAUAGAGACCUGUAUGAAUGGCAUAACGAGGGUUUAACUGUCUCCUUCCCCUAGUCAAUGAAAUUGAUCUGCCCGUGCAGAAGCGGACAUAAACACAUAAGACGAGAAGACCCUAUGGAGCUUUAGACAAAAGAUCAAACAUGUAAAGAAACCAAGUUAACCAAAAGGAACACAAAGGCCACGAAACCCGACGUAAACUGAUCCAAAUGUCUUCGGUUGGGGCGACCAUGGGGGAGAAAAAAGCCCCCACGAGGAACAGGGACUAAUCCCUAAGCCAAGAGAGACAUCUCUAAGCAACAGAAAAUCUGACCAAAAGUGACCCAGAAUACUAAUUCUGAUCAACGAACCAAGUUACCCUAGGGAUAACAGCGCAAUCCUUUCCCAGAGUCCAUAUCGACGAAAGGGUUUACGACCUCGAUGUUGGAUCAGGACAUCCUAAUGGUGCAGCCGCUAUUAAGG
Molecule: ribosomal RNA, 495 nt
Filed under: Anguilla japonica (Japanese eel)
Lineage: Eukaryota; Metazoa; Chordata; Actinopteri; Anguilliformes; Anguillidae
Description: partial 16S rRNA
Rfam family: Bacterial large subunit ribosomal RNA
Source: RNAcentral